This 629-nucleotide ribosomal RNA is filed under the name uncultured bacterium. RNAcentral's name for it is "bacterial SSU rRNA". It matches the Rfam family "Bacterial small subunit ribosomal RNA", at positions 245 to 884 of the family's 1533-position model. The record is from RNAcentral.
CUUGUUGGUGAGGUAAUAGCUCACCAAGGCGACGACGGGUAGCCGGCCUGAGAGGGUGACCGGCCACACUGGGACUGAGACACGGCCCAGACUCCUACGGGAGGCAGCAGUGGGGAAUAUUGCACAAUGGGCGCAAGCCUGAUGCAGCAACGCCGCGUGAGGGACGACGGCCUUCGGGUUGUAAACCUCUUUUAGUAGGGAAGAAGCGAAAGUGACGGUACCUGCAGAAAAAGCACCGGCUAACUACGUGCCAGCAGCCGCGGUAAUACGUAGGGUGCAAGCGUUAUCCGGAAUUAUUGGGCGUAAAGAGCUCGUAGGCGGUUUGUCGCGUCUGCUGUGAAAACUGGGGGCUCAACCCCCAGCCUGCAGUGGGUACGGGCAGACUAGAGUGCGGUAGGGGAGAUUGGAAUUCCUGGUGUAGCGGUGGAAUGCGCAGAUAUCAGGAGGAACACCGAUGGCGAAGGCAGAUCUCUGGGCCGUAACUGACGCUGAGGAGCGAAAGCAUGGGGAGCGAACAGGAUUAGAUACCCUGGUAGUCCAUGCCGUAAACGUUGGGAACUAGAUGUAGGGUCCAUUCCACGGAUUCUGUGUCGCAGCUAACGCAUUAAGUUCCCCGCCUGGGGAGUACA